RNAcentral lists this transfer RNA (73 nucleotides) under Stegodyphus mimosarum. It matches the Rfam family "tRNA". From Rfam's summary of the family: Transfer RNA (tRNA) molecules are approximately 80 nucleotides in length. Their secondary structure includes four short double-helical elements and three loops (D, anti-codon, and T loops). Further hydrogen bonds mediate the characteristic L-shaped molecular structure. tRNAs have two regions of fundamental functional importance: the anti-codon, which is responsible for specific mRNA codon recognition, and the 3' end, to which the tRNAs corresponding amino acid is attached (by aminoacyl-tRNA synthetases). tRNAs cope with the degeneracy of the genetic code in two manners: having more than one tRNA (with a specific anti-codon) for a particular amino acid; and 'wobble' base-pairing, i.e. permitting non-standard base-pairing at the 3rd anti-codon position. Lineage: Eukaryota; Metazoa; Arthropoda; Arachnida; Araneae; Eresidae. The record is from Rfam by way of RNAcentral.
GCCUUCGUGGUGUAGUGGUCAGCACGCUCGACGCGCAUUCGAGAGGUCCGUGGUUCGAGUCCCGCCGAGGGCA